AAUGUGCUCAGAUUACAGACGUGAGCCACCGUGCCCGGCUGGUGUCAGUGCAUUUUGAGUAAGUGCUCAACAGUGGAGUACCUGCCGCCAAAAUUCUCAAAGAUAAGAAUGUGUUCUAAAAGGACUGGUUCUGUGAUAAGCAGAAGGGCCUGUCCAUCAGCAGUACUGCUUGCUGGAAAAGCAGCCUCAGAGAAAGUGGAAUCGAUAACAGGCUCCCUAUACUUCAUGGUCCUCAAUAGGAGUCUUGGAAUCAAAUAAACUCCAAGCCCAGAGUGGAGGGACUUGGAAGAGUCACUUUGCAAAGAAGUCUGGAAGAUAUAAAUAUAAGAUCUUAGAUUUUUCAGGACUGAAAGGAAACUUACAGAGGGUUCAGUCUCGUUUCAGGUAUUUGACUCCUUCUGAAAUGUGUAGAAUUUUUUUAAAACAAUUUUUAACGUUGUGAAUUCUUGACUCCUCCUUAAGCCUACUCUGUACAGCCUUUGAUAUUGAAAAUUAUUAAUCUUAACUCUUAAACCAAUAAUGUUUAAACCUGUAAUGAAAUAAUUAUUGUACAUAUCACAUAAAACUAAUGUUAUAUGUCACUGCCUAAAUCAAGUUCGUGAUUUUUUUUUCUUUAACUUUCUUUACUACUUCUCUGGUAUAUUUUUCUAUUUUCUGUGUUCCAUAGCAGUGAGAAAACAGAUACCAUCUUUAUUUUCUUAUUCUCUUGUUCAAAU
Callithrix jacchus (white-tufted-ear marmoset) is the source of this 716-nucleotide long non-coding RNA. Lineage: Eukaryota; Metazoa; Chordata; Mammalia; Primates; Cebidae. The record is from Ensembl.